AGGAUAAACGCUGGCGGCGUGCCUAACACAUGCAAGUCGAACGUCUCUUCUUUCGGGAAGAGGAGUGGCGGACGGGUGAGGAACACGUGGGAACCUGCCCUUCAGUGAGGAAUACCGGCGAGAAAUCGCCGACAAGACCGCAUAGCCCUCUCUGGUGAGAGCCAGAGAAGGAAAGCCUCGCAAGAGGCGCUGGAGGAGGGGCCUGCGUCCGAUUAGCUAGUUGGUGGGGUAAGAGCCUACCAAGGCGUCGAUCGGUAGCUGGUCUGAGAGGACGAUCAGCCACACUGGGAUUGAGAACGGCCCAGACUCCUACGGGGGGCAGCAGUGAGGAAUUUUCGGCAAUGGGGGAAACCCUGACCGAGCAACGCCGCGUGCAGGAAGACGGCCUUCGGGUUGUAACUGCUUUUCUUUGGGACGAGCAAGGACGGUACCAGAGGAAUCAGCCCCGGCUCACUACGUGCCAGCAGCCGC
This 471-nucleotide ribosomal RNA is filed under the name uncultured bacterium. RNAcentral's name for it is "SSU rRNA". It matches the Rfam family "Bacterial small subunit ribosomal RNA", at positions 26 to 518 of the family's 1533-position model. The record is from RNAcentral.